RNAcentral lists this ribosomal RNA (253 nucleotides) under uncultured bacterium. Its description in RNAcentral is "partial 16S ribosomal RNA". It matches the Rfam family "Bacterial small subunit ribosomal RNA", at positions 524 to 776 of the family's 1533-position model. The record is from RNAcentral.
UACAGAGGUCUCAAGCGUUGUUCGGAUUCAUUGGGCGUAAAGGGUGCGUAGGCGGCGCGGUAAGUCGGGUGUGAAAUCUCGGAGCUUAACUCCGAAACUGCAUUCGAUACUGCCGUGCUUGAGGACUGGAGAGGAGACUGGAAUUUACGGUGUAGCGGUGAAAUGCGUAGAUAUCGGGAAGAACACCAGUGGCGAAAGCGCUCUACUGGGCCAUAACUGACACUGAGGGACGAAAGCUAGGGGAGCGAAAGGG